RNAcentral lists this small RNA (87 nucleotides) under Pedobacter sp. Leaf194. RNAcentral's name for it is "Flavo-1 RNA". It matches the Rfam family "Flavo-1 RNA". Lineage: Bacteria; Pseudomonadati; Bacteroidota; Sphingobacteriia; Sphingobacteriales; Sphingobacteriaceae. The record is from Rfam by way of RNAcentral.
UUCUAAACGGGAUAGAAGUGGCAGCCUAUUGCUGUCCUGAGCGUAGCUGAAGGGCAGCAAUAGCUAAAACGGAUAGCCCGACUGGCG